UACGGAGGGUGCGAGCGUUGUCCGGAAUCAUUGGGCGUAAAGGGCGCGUAGGUGGCCCAGUAAGCGUGCGGUGAAAGCUCGGGGCUCAACCCCGAGUCGGCCGUGCGAACUACUGGGCUGGAGCACUGUAGAGGCAGGCGGAAUUCCGGGUGUAGCGGUGGAAUGCGCAGAUAUCAGGAAGAACACCCGUGGCUAAGGCGGCUCUCUAGUACGGUACUGACGCUGAGACGCGAAAGCGUGGGGAGCGAACAGG
This 253-nucleotide ribosomal RNA is filed under the name uncultured bacterium. RNAcentral's name for it is "partial 16S ribosomal RNA". It matches the Rfam family "Bacterial small subunit ribosomal RNA", at positions 524 to 776 of the family's 1533-position model. The record is from RNAcentral.